Molecule: ribosomal RNA, 836 nt
Filed under: Xanthoparmelia lineola
Lineage: Eukaryota; Fungi; Ascomycota; Lecanoromycetes; Lecanorales; Parmeliaceae
Description: partial large subunit ribosomal RNA
Rfam family: Eukaryotic large subunit ribosomal RNA
Source: RNAcentral
CAGUAACGGCGAGUGAAGCGGCAACAGCUCAAAUUUGAAAUCUGGCUCCUUUGGGGUCCGAAUUGUAAUUUGUAGAGAGUGCUUCGGGCGAGACCUCGGUCUAAGUCCAUUGGAACAUGGUGUCAUAGAGGGUGAGAAUCCCGUAUGCGACCGUGGCUCGAGCCCAUGUGAAGCCUCUUCGACGAGUCGAGUUGUUUGGGAAUGCAGCUCAAAACGGGUGGUAAAUUUCAUCUAAAGCUAAAUACUGGCUGGAGACCGAUAGCGCACAAGUAGAGUGAUCGAAAGAUGAAAAGCACUUUGGAAAGAGAGUCAAACAGUACGUGAAAUUGUUGAAAGGGAAGCGCUUGCAACCAGACCUGCCCGUAGGCGAUCAGCCGCUGUUCUCAGCGGUGUACUCGCUCUGCGAUCAGGCCAGCAUCGGUUUCGGCGGUCGGAUAAAGGCCUUGGGAAUGUAGCUUCCCUUCGGGGGAGUCUUAUAGCCCUCGGUGUAAUGCGGCCAGCCGGGACCGAGGACCGCGCUUCGGCUAGGAUGCUGGCGUAAUGGUUGUAAGCGACCCGUCUUGAAACACGGACCAAGGAGUCUAACAUCUAUGCGAGUGUUUGGGUGUCAAACCCAUACGCGGAAUGAAAGUGAACGGAGGUGAGAACCCUUAAGGGCGCAUCAUCGACCGAUCCAGAUGUCUUCGGAUGGAUUUGAGUAUGAGCAUAGCUGUUGGGACCCGAAAGAUGGUGAACUAUGCCUGAAUAGGGUGAAGCCAGAGGAAACUCUGGUGGAGGCUCGCAGCGGUUUCUGACGUGCAAAUCGAUCGUCAAAUUUGGGUAUAGGGGCGAAAGAC